RNAcentral lists this long non-coding RNA (860 nucleotides) under Rhinopithecus bieti (black snub-nosed monkey). Its description in RNAcentral is "lncRNA (ENSRBIG00000046318.1)". The record is from RNAcentral. Lineage: Eukaryota; Metazoa; Chordata; Mammalia; Primates; Cercopithecidae.
GAAUUCCCAGCACAUUUCAAGGAUCAGGUGUCCACAUCCGAAAUGAACCCAGCCCUUGGUGUUCAAAAUCACUUUUAGGAGAAGUAGAGCUUUUUCUUUCAUGUAUCUGGACCAGUAGUUCACUUACUCUGGAAGUCAGAGGCCCUAUGGACUGCCCAGCCCAGCUGCUGUGGAAUGUGGCAGAGAAAGAGGGUGAGAGGGCCUGAAUGGCUCCCAUGCCAGGAGUAUUAUGCAAACACGGGAGAAAAAACCAUGCCUCCUCUACUGGUCUACAGGAGCACUUGAAAACCUGCUCAUCUGCAAGCAAUGGGGCUCGACUCUACAUCACAGCAGUGGAUACUGCAUCGCCAUCGAGAACCCAAUGACUGGUGAGAAGCAGAACCUCAGGAUUAACCAUGGGUUGCAGAUGGAGUCAGAUCUAGAAGCCAGGACUUCUGCUACUCCGUUCCACAUUCUUUUCCCUUCAUUCCCUGUCUGAGGGAAAGGAAGUGAGAAGGAGGGAGAGGCCAUAUGUUCCUGCUUUGUCCCAGCUCUUCUCCCAGCUCCCUUCUCUCCCGCCCACCCCUCUAGGCUGCUUGUUUGUGCUUCUCCAGUCACCUCAGGUCACCCUGCCUUGCCUGGCUGCUAGAACCUUUGUCAAAACCCAUAUUUAGUUGCUGCAGGUUCCUUGCCUAGUGUCUCUGAAGUUAACGAUGGAAUCUUUGAAAAUGACUUUAGAAGCAAAACAUAAGCAGCAGAAGACAUGAAACUACCUCAAGCCCAUCUGUUCAAGCACGAUCCACCUCAGAGCUCCCAUUUCCCAUGUAAAACAGAAGAUAUGAUUUAUAAUUUAUAUCUCACCGGUACAAUCCUGAUUGAAG